Long non-coding RNA from Astyanax mexicanus (Mexican tetra), 1249 nucleotides. RefSeq lists it as uncharacterized. NCBI's taxonomy places the organism in Eukaryota, Metazoa, Chordata, Actinopteri, Characiformes, Acestrorhamphidae. The transcript has 2 exons. The record is from RefSeq and is a predicted model, not a curated record.
UGGUGAUCAACUUCAGCGUGGACUAAAGACACGGACUACUUCAUUAUUCCAGACUGGAAACCAGAACGACCCUCAAACAUCACUUGUGCCCCAGUGGUCGACGCCUCUCCUGGUCUACUAGUGAGGAAAAUCAGCUGCUGAUGCAUCAGCUCCAGGCGGACCGGUUCAGUGUCGCUGUGAAGAGAAACCUGACCUUUCCUGCCCAUUAUCUGGGCGUAGCUGUGGGCAGUAGCUGCACGGCUGCAGGUGACUCAUUUCUGAAGAGGUGUUUUAUUAACUAUGUGACUGGGAAUUUGAAUGAACUGGGGAUUAAGCUGGAAUCUGGUUGGGAAUUUGAAUUAUGAAUAGACUGGGAGUUUGGGAUUUGGGGUACCUGGUUGGGAAUUUAAUUAAAUAGGCUUUGAAUUAGAUUUGUAAGGGAUGAAGUAAUAAGAUGACGAUUUAUCAUGGAUCUGGCAGUCUGGCUAGGCUGGGAAUCUGGUUGGGCAUUUGAAUUAAUAUGCUGAAUAUUUAUCAGGGAUCUUGGAAUCUGGUUGGGCAUUUGCAUUAAUAUGCUGAAGAUUUAUCAGGGAAGUUUGAAUAAAAAGGCUGGGGUAUGCCUAGGAGCUGGGAAUCUGGCUAGGGUGGGAAUUUGGCUAGAAUUUUGAAUUAAUGAAGGUAUUUGUCGGAGAAUUUGAAUAAAUAAGAUGAAGAAUUCUGAGAAAUCUGUUAAGGAAUUUGAAUCAAUAGGUUGAGGGAUUUGUCAUGGAUUUGGAAAUCUGCCUAGAAAUCCAAAUCAAUAUGCUGGGGAGUUUGGCUGGAAAUUAAAAUAAACAUGCUUAAGAUUCAUCAGGGAUGUGAAAAUCUGACUCGAAUUUUGAAAAAGAAGACUAAGAUUUAUCAUGCAAUUGGGAAUCUAAUUGUAAAGUUAAAUUAGUAGGCUGGUGAUUUGUAAUGAAUCUCAGAAUAUGUUUGCGAUUUUGAACAUUCAGUGACUAAGCUAAAGAUUUGUGAGGGGGUGGCAAUCUGACUAGAAUUUUUAAUAAAUAUGCUGAAAUUUAUCAUAAUUAUUAUAAUUCAAAUUAAUAGGCAGUGGAUUUAUCAUUGGAAUGUGUUAGGGAAUUUGAAGGGGGAGUUUAAGGAGUUGAAAAUUAGCAUUUAUUAAAAGGCAGUCCGUCAGUUAUGCUAUGCUGUAGGCCUAUAAAGUUGUAAUGCCCAGUCAUUUUGACAGUAUGAACUACCACAUCUCUUAUUAAAGAUUUGCAUCUGU